This is a long non-coding RNA of Platichthys flesus (European flounder), 338 nucleotides long. RefSeq lists it as uncharacterized. The transcript is spliced from 3 exons. The record is from RefSeq and is a predicted model, not a curated record. Lineage: Eukaryota; Metazoa; Chordata; Actinopteri; Pleuronectiformes; Pleuronectidae.
UAAGCUGUAUGAACUUUGAUGAAGGUUUCGGCUGCAGACCUGGUUCAGAGUCUCACGCUGGUCAGAUUUACUGCUGCACCGGCUUCCUGUCGCUCACCGGGCAGCUGCACCAGGUGAAGGCCGACCUGCUGGGCUGGUGGCUCUGCGAGAGGCAGCUGAAGUCCGGAGGUCUUAACGGACGACCUGAGUAGCUUCCUGACGUGUGCUACUCAUGGUGGGUGCUGGCGUCACUGAAGAUCAUUGGCAGGAUUCACUGGAUCGACAAGGCCAAGCUGCGAGCGUUCAUCCUGGCCUGCCAGGACGAGGAGACGGGGGGGUUCGCUGAAAGACCAGGAGAC